CAACCAGGAAAUUGCAGCUCGCGCUCCCUGGCAAUACUCAGGUAUUGCUGGCGCCGACUGCCAUUUCGGAAGUCAGGCUGGGGUCCCGCUUAGCCGCGGAAAGUUGCCUGGAAGAGAAGGGUAGCCUCGGCACCCCGAGUCUGGCAUGGGGGUGCUGCAAGGGGGGAAGCAAUGCGACCUGUGGACCCGAAAAACCCAGUAAGACUAAGAAAAGAAAUACACAUUGGUUUUGUGCUCUUAAGAACCGCUAAUCCCACCGAUUCGUUUAUGUCCCAAUAAUGUUUCUCUUUUCCCAAACAAAUAUAUUUCUCACGGGGUGUUUUAUGAGCGCUGGGGGCAGAAAAAAAAAAUCGGAACAAAGACAGUAUUUCACCCUUCGGUUGGCAGGCAGCUGUUAAAGGUAUUUACGGCUCUACUGCAGUGCGGCACUCAAUGCUGCUGUAGUGCGAGGGGAAAAAACAGGAAGUGAAAGGGAAAGAUGAGGCACAAUAAACCUUGCAGCGAGGCUUUGGGGCCGGGCUGGGCGCGGAGGAAGGAUCCCUGCCAGAGACAAGAGGCAAUAAAACCGCAUUCAGUGCCGCGGGGGCUGCUCACACCCCGGAACCUCCGCGGAUGCGCCUGGGGGAGGGGACGGCCGGGGAGGGCGGCAAGGUGGGAUCUCCCCCACCCGUGCCCCUCCGGCCUCCCCUCGAGGAGCACCCUGCGAGGCCAUGGGGGCCGUGGGGACGGCCGGCCCCGUCCCAGCCGCCCCGCCGAGCGCCUCCAGGUGCGCCCCGAGGGGGCGGCCCCGAGGCGCGGCGCCUCCGCGGUCCCUCGCGGAGCCCGGCGCGGGCGCCGUGGGACGGGGCCGGCCGGAGGCUCUCGGGCCGCUCAGGGCUGCGUCAAGCUCCGCGGAAGCCUCCGCUGUCGAGGCCCGGCCGUGGGGUGGGCUUUCGUGGGACGCGUUAGGGACGCCGCGGCCCCGACGGCGCGGUCCAGGGUCACCUGCCCGCGGUGCCCGCCCUCGGGGCCGCCGGGCCUCGGCGCGGUGCUGCCGCCGGGGGCGCGGCAGGGCCCCGCGCCGCCACCAGCCAUUUUGUCUCCCACGGCCUCUUCCAGGAGAAGGCGCUGUAGGACAAGCCUGGCCGCCUUCCCUGCCCGGGAGAGGGACCCUCCGCCCCGCCGCCCCCCGCUGCCCGCCCCGGCCCCCGGCCCGCAGCCCCGGCCUACGGCCACGGGAGAGGCCCACCGGAGGGCCGGGAGCACCGCCGCUCUUUGGGGGUCCUCCCCCUGGAAGUCGCCCCUCUACCUCCAGCGACGCGGCCUCCGGCCCGUCCCGGGCCCUGCGCGCAUCCUUGCGGCCCCUCCGCGCCCCCCGAGACGGGCAGCGACCCCGGGGCUUACGGCGAGCGCCCCGCCGCCCUCACGGCCCCCAGAGCGCCGCCGAUGUCGGGCUGCCACCGCAUCCCCGCCCGCCCCUUCGGCCUUUUCGAUGUGUCCCCCGAGCCGGGACGGCGGGUCCUCCUUCUGCCCCUCACCUGCAGCCCCCGGGGCUCGCCUUCCCCCGCCGUCGCCCGGACGUGACCCCGGCGGCCCCCGGGCCGUGCCUGCCCUAGCCUGCCGCUCCCACGGCCCCCGGGCUCCCCUCCCUGCCCC
Molecule: long non-coding RNA, 1635 nt
Filed under: Cairina moschata (Muscovy duck)
Lineage: Eukaryota; Metazoa; Chordata; Aves; Anseriformes; Anatidae
Description: domestica (muscovy Duck (domestic type)) lncRNA (ENSCMMG00000005610.1)
Source: RNAcentral